This 647-nucleotide unclassified non-coding RNA is filed under the name uncultured Prochlorococcus sp. RNAcentral describes it as "partial 16S-23S ribosomal RNA intergenic spacer; may also contain 16S ribosomal RNA and 23S ribosomal RNA". The stretch from base 305 to 377 matches the Rfam family "tRNA". The record is from RNAcentral. Lineage: Bacteria; Bacillati; Cyanobacteriota; Cyanophyceae; Synechococcales; Prochlorococcaceae.
UUGUGGAGGAGGACGCCGAAGGUGGGGCUAAUGACUGGGGUGAAGUCGUAACAAGGUAGCCGUACCGGAAAGUGCGGCUGGAUCACCUCCUAACAGGGAGACAACAAAAUGUUUAAUAUUAUUAUUUUGUCACCUUAGGUCGAUCGGUAUCUCACGUUCUUAAUUUGUUAAGAAUUUCAUUUCCUAAGUUUUUCUAGGUCACACCCAUUAUGUUUCCUGGGCCAUUAGCUCAGGUGGUUAGAGCGCACCCCUGAUAAGGGUGAGGUCCCUGGUUCAAGUCCAGGAUGGCCCAUAUCUCUAUGUUGGGGGUAUAGCUCAGUUGGUAGAGCGCCUGCUUUGCAAGCAGGAUGUCAGCGGUUCGAGCCCGCUUACCUCCACUGAUUACCACCUCUUCCAUAACAGGUAGAAAGGAAGUGUUUUGAGUUGUGAUCAUUAUUCUGAACGAAUCUAGCUUCCUAAUGAAAUCAUUAAGAUGCUGGACUCAUUGAAUUAAUUUCAUUGUUUUCAGAGAACCUUGACAACUGCAUAGAUUAUUUUUAAAGACAAUAAGCAUCUUUAAUGAUGCAGAUUUAUUAUUUGUGCGAAUGCAUUAAUAACAAUUCUAUUAAGCUGAUGCUUCAAUUUUGAAGUUAUUGGUCAAGCUACAA